GAUGAACGCUGGCGGCGUGCCUAAUACAUGCAAGUCGAGCGAACAGACGAGGAGCUUGCUCCUCUGACGUUAGCGGCGGACGGGUGAGUAACACGUGGAUAACCUACCUAUAAGACUGGGAUAACUUCGGGAAACCGGAGCUAAUACCGGAUAAUAUAUUGAACCGCAUGGUUCAAUAGUGAAAGACGGUUUUGCUGUCACUUAUAGAUGGAUCCGCGCCGCAUUAGCUAGUUGGUAAGGUAACGGCUUACCAAGGCAACGAUGCGUAGCCGACCUGAGAGGGUGAUCGGCCACACUGGAACUGAGACACGGUCCAGACUCCUACGGGAGGCAGCAGUAGGGAAUCUUCCGCAAUGGGCGAAAGCCUGACGGAGCAACGCCGCGUGAGUGAUAAAGGUCUUCGGAACGCAAAACUCUGUUAUUAGGGAAGAACAAAUGUGUAAGUAACUAUGCACGUCUUGACGGUACCUAAUCAGAAAGCCACGGCUAACUACGUG
This 497-nucleotide ribosomal RNA is filed under the name uncultured bacterium. Its description in RNAcentral is "partial 16S ribosomal RNA". It matches the Rfam family "Bacterial small subunit ribosomal RNA", at positions 28 to 507 of the family's 1533-position model. The record is from RNAcentral.